UACGUAGGGGGCUAGCGUUGUCCGGAAUCAUUGGGCGUAAAGCGCGUGUAGGCGGUCCGGUAAGUCCGCUGUGAAAGUCGGGGGCUCAACCCUCGAACGCCGGUGGAUACUGUCGGGCUAGAGUGCGGAAGAGGCGAGUGGAAUUCCUGGUGUAGCGGUGAAAUGCGCAGAUAUCAGGAGGAACACCAAUUGCGAAGGCAGCUCGCUGGGACGUUACUGACGCUGAGACGCGAAAGCGUGGGGAGCAAACAGG
This 253-nucleotide ribosomal RNA is filed under the name uncultured bacterium. RNAcentral's name for it is "partial 16S ribosomal RNA". It matches the Rfam family "Bacterial small subunit ribosomal RNA", at positions 524 to 776 of the family's 1533-position model. The record is from RNAcentral.